UUAUAGAAACGGUUUAGUGUCUUUGGAAAAGUCCGUUAUCAUUUUAGCAGUUUUCAGAUGUUUGUUUGUGUAAAUGCUGUGUGCGCGUUGAGUCCUGCGCGAGCGGGGAGCAGAGUUGCCAUGGAAACGGGGCGUCAACACAAAAACCGUUACUGGCAAACAGUAAUCUCCUUCUCUCGCUGCGGUUUACACUGUUUUAGGAGGACAGAAAGAAACUCUACAGAACAGAAGUGAAGCUCCAAGAUUUCAACAUUUAUGAAGGGAGAUACUGACUUAGAAAUACAGGUGAACUGAAGAAGCUCAUGAAAUACAUGAAUAUGCCUUUUUCAGAAUACAUUUCACCAAUUUUAAGAAGUCCCUGACAUCAUGACAUUGCUUGUUUUGUUCCUGGACUCUUCAGUGAUGACGAUCAGAGUCUGAGUGAACCUGCUGUCAGACAGGUUGGCCUGAUUGACGAUGCCAUCGUCCAUCGCCGAUAGCUGAUAGACAUCACGAUGCUGCGCUGGCAAACAGCGUCAUCAGCUCCAGUAUCUCGCCCGUGCAUCUGUUGUCAUGCGACAGAGAAGUCACGUUCUAUAGAGAGUUUCUACAGACAGUUGUGAACGUGCUGACAGCUGGUUGCCCAGGCUAUGGAUUAAAGGUAAUACUGUUGGCCAGCAGAGCCCUGCUCACCCUGACGGCCCACCGCUGCUGUCAGACAACAUCUCAAAGAUGCUAUAAACUGCAGGACUAGAUCGCCAUCCCAAGGUUUCUAGAGAUUACAGCAGCUCCAGACUGAAUCCAAACUCACUUGUGAAGACUUCAGAUGACACCAACGCUCACAAAGACUACAGACGACAACUGUACAUGAACACACAAAACAUUGGACACACAAAACAAUUAUUAUCCUUAUUUUGCCUAUAAGGGUAAAUUUGAUGAUUUUCAAACUGCUUUAUUGUAACG
Carassius auratus (goldfish) is the source of this 942-nucleotide long non-coding RNA. RefSeq lists it as uncharacterized. The record is from RefSeq and is a predicted model, not a curated record. Lineage: Eukaryota; Metazoa; Chordata; Actinopteri; Cypriniformes; Cyprinidae. The transcript is spliced from 7 exons.